CUGGACGUACGCACCUUUUGACACCUUCGAGCGUGCUUCAAAAAAUGGCAGCCCGUUACCAGGGUUGAUUUUUAUAUAAAUUGC
Long non-coding RNA from Maniola jurtina (meadow brown), 84 nucleotides. RefSeq lists it as uncharacterized. Lineage: Eukaryota; Metazoa; Arthropoda; Insecta; Lepidoptera; Nymphalidae. The record is from RefSeq and is a predicted model, not a curated record. The transcript is spliced from 3 exons.